RNAcentral lists this ribosomal RNA (1347 nucleotides) under metagenome. RNAcentral describes it as "bacterial LSU rRNA". It matches the Rfam family "Bacterial large subunit ribosomal RNA", at positions 1564 to 2925 of the family's 2925-position model. The record is from RNAcentral.
UGAGUACGAGCUGCUACGGCAGCGAAGUGGGUGAUGUCAAGCUUCCAAGAAAAGCCCUAUACCCGUUAAGGCAUGAUGGCCUGUACCCGAAACCGACACAGGUGGGGUGGUAGAGAAUACCGAGGGGCGCGAGAUAACUCUCUCUAAGGAACUCGGCAAAAUGGCCCCGUAACUUCGGGAGAAGGGGUGCCACCGCAAGGUGGUCGCAGUGAAGAGGCCCAGGCGACUGUUUACCAAAAACACAGGUCUCCGCUAAGUCGCAAGACGAUGUAUGGGGGCUGACGCCUGCCCAGUGCCGGAAGGUUAAGGAAGCUGGUCAGCGAAAGCGAAGCUAGCGACUGAAGCCCCGGUGAACGGCGGCCGUAACAAUAACGGUCCUAAGGUAGCGAAAUUCCUUGUCGGGUAAGUUCCGACCCGCACGAAAGGCGUAACGAUCUGGGCGCUGUCUCGGAGAGAGGCUCGGCGAAAUAGAAUUGUCUGUGAAGAUGCGGACUACGUGCACCCGGACAGAAAGACCCUAUGAAGCUUUACUGUAGCUUGGUAUUGUGCUCGGGCUCGGAAUGCGCAGGAUAGGUGGGAGGCUAUGAACCAUUGCUUGUGGGUGAUGGUGAGCCACUGGUGAGAUACCACUCUUUCCGAGCUAGAGUUCUAACAGCCACCCGUUAUCCGGGGGCUGGACAGUAUCAGGUGGGCAGUUUGACUGGGGCGGUCGCCUCCUAAAAGGUAAGGGAGGCGCGCAAAGGUUUGCUCAGGCUGGUUGGAAAUCAGCCGACGAGUGUAAAAGCAGAAGCAAGCUUGACUGUGAGACCUACAAGUCGAACAGGGAGGAAACUCGGCUUUAGUGAUCCGACGGUUCUGCGUGGAAGGGCCGUCGCUCAACGGAUAAAAGUUACUCUAAGGAUAACAGGCUGAUCUCCCCCAAGAGUUCACAUCGACGGGGAGGUUUGGCACCUCGAUGUCGGCUCAUCGCAACCUGGGGCUGAAGUCGGUCCCAAGGGUUGGGCUGUUCGCCCAUUAAAGCGGUACGCGAGCUGGGUUCAGAACGUCGUGAGACAGUUCGGUCCAUAUCCGGUGCAUGCGCAGGAAUAUUGAGAGGAUUUCUCCCUAGUACGAGAGGACCGGGAGGAACGCACCUCUGGUGUACCAGUUAUCGUGCCAACGGUAAACGCUGGGUAGCCAUGUGCGGAGAGGAUAACCGCUGAAAGCAUCUAAGUGGGAAGCCCACCUCAAGAUGAGUAUUCCCAUGGGGUAACCCAGUAAGGUCACGGGAAGAACACCCGUUGAUAGGCUCUACGUGGAAGCGCAGUAAUGUGUGAAGCGGAGGAGUACUAAUAGACCGAGGGCUUG